RNAcentral lists this ribosomal RNA (460 nucleotides) under uncultured bacterium. RNAcentral's name for it is "partial 16S ribosomal RNA". It matches the Rfam family "Bacterial small subunit ribosomal RNA", at positions 338 to 795 of the family's 1533-position model. The record is from RNAcentral.
CCUACGGGAGGCAGCAGUGAGGAAUAUUGGUCAAUGGACGAGAGUCUGAACCAGCCAAGUAGCGUGAAGGAUGACUGCCCUAUGGGUUGUAAACUUCUUUUAUAUGGGAAUAAAAUGUUCCACGUGUGGGAUUUUGUAUGUACCAUAUGAAUAAGGAUCGGCUAACUCCGUGCCAGCAGCCGCGGUAAUACGGAGGAUCCGAGCAUUAUCCGGAUUUAUUGGGUUUAAAGGGAGCGUAGGUGGAUUGUUAAGUCAGUUGUGAAAGUUUGCGGCUCAACCGUAAAAUUGCAGUUGAAACUGGCAGUCUUGAGUACAGUAGAGGUGUGCGGAAUUCGUGGUGUAGCGGUGAAAUGCUUAGAUAUCACGAAGAACUCCGAUUGCGAAGGCAGUUCACUGGACUGCAACUGACACUGAGGCUCGAAAGUGUGGGUAUCAAACAGGAUUAGAGACCCCAGUAGUC